GCUCUAGUAGUCCAAUUGGCAGAGACAGCAGAUUUAGAGUCUGUGUGUUGCGAGUUCAAAUCUCGCCUAGAGUA
This 74-nucleotide transfer RNA is filed under the name Caudoviricetes sp. Its description in RNAcentral is "tRNA-Leu". It matches the Rfam family "tRNA". Rfam says of the family: Transfer RNA (tRNA) molecules are approximately 80 nucleotides in length. The record is from RNAcentral. Lineage: Duplodnaviria; Heunggongvirae; Uroviricota; Caudoviricetes.